UGGAUUUUUAUUAUUGUUUACUGGAUUUCUAUGAGGAUUUAAUCGUUGAUCAUUGGUUUUUAUUCAACGAUUGGGUUUGAUCGUUUUAUCUUUCAUAUUUCAAUUGUUUGCUUAUUGAUCAUGUUUAGCGUUGAUCCCAUAAUGGCUUUUGGUUCAGACAUGAACUAAACUUCAUUAUGGGAUUCUAACGGAUUUUAAUAUGUAGUUUGGUUACACGCUUAAAUGCUAGGGUUGUUUUGCAUAUUAUAUGGGAAUUCUAUCGUGAUUGUGUUUACAUGUAUGAAUGCCUUAUCACCAUUCGUCUCAGUAUUUGUAUGGAAUUGACAAUGAACAUGCAAGUAUGGAUUGUAAUCAUGAUAGCAUACGAAUAUGGGACUGUUAUAUAUGGCUUGCGUAUUUUGUGAACCAGAUAGACAUAUGUUGUUUCACCGUAUGAACUAGAGUAAGGGCUUGUGCUUAAAAUCAAUAUAAUUACAAUUUCACAUAGACAUAUAGUGAUUUUGGUUGCGUUGAUGAUUACAUAGAGUCUAUCAUCUGUGGAUGCUGUGUAAGUAGGUUAUAGUGCAUUGAAAAAUGGUUAUAACUCUAUUCGUGCUCUUGGCUAUUUUCCUAUGAUAUGUGAACACUUCUUGCAUGAUAGUGGCGAUGAGAUGAAAUAUUAAAUGAAGUUAGGGUCCCAUUAUUUCCAGUUUAUAUUUAUUCCAUUAUUAUUCUUAUUUUUAGUUGUUAGUACAAUUAGUUCAAUUCAACAAUUCUAGUUAUUAGUUUAAGCAUAUAAAUACAGUGAGUUAAUU
This 794-nucleotide long non-coding RNA is filed under the name Panax ginseng (ginseng). Its description in RNAcentral is "long non-coding RNA (PGIN_LNC004847)". Lineage: Eukaryota; Viridiplantae; Streptophyta; Magnoliopsida; Apiales; Araliaceae. The record is from RNAcentral.